Molecule: long non-coding RNA, 499 nt
Filed under: Mus spicilegus (steppe mouse)
Lineage: Eukaryota; Metazoa; Chordata; Mammalia; Rodentia; Muridae
Description: lncRNA (ENSMSIG00000014663.1)
Source: RNAcentral
GAGCCUUUGCUGCCAGAGUGGGCUGGAAUCUUCCGCGUAUGAAACCUUCUGUCCAGCCUCCCCACCCCCAACCCCCAUUCCUCCGCCCCGCAUUGCCCUGAAAACACCGCCUCCUUCCAGCUUGCAGAUCCCGCCCCAACGGGAUCUCGCCUGGGAAUCUCUCACAUUGCUGAGUGGUGAACAACAUGCCUGGGCCUCCCUGGGUCCCAGGGCAGAGAGAGAAUUUCAAGCACAAGUAAUGAGACCACCACCAGUUCGGUGUAGAAUGGAGCCCAUACCAGCCAAUGAUGGUGAUUCCAUGAGUGAAUACGAUCACUAGACCAGAGCAAGGUAAGCGAGCUCUAAACCUGUGAAAGAAACUCCAACAGUGGAUGGAGAAAGGGAUCCACUGUCUCUUGAGGUCCCAACUGUAUGAAUCUGAAUUUGACAAAAUGCCUCCCGGUAAGUUUCGAUGCAGGUACGUUUGAUUUGACCUCAAUAAAACAUUGACUUUUGGCCA